AUUGAACGCUGGCGGCAUGCUUUACACAUGCAAGUCGAACGGCAGCGCGGGCUUCGGCCUGGCGGCGAGUGGCGAACGGGUGAGUAAUACAUCGGAACGUGCCCAGUAGUGGGGGAUAGCUCGGCGAAAGCCGGAUUAAUACCGCAUACGACCUGCGGGUGAAAGCGGGGGAUCUUCGGACCUCGCGCUAUGGGAGCGGCCGAUGGCCGAUUAGCUAGUUGGUGGGGUGAAGGCCUACCAAGGCGACGAUCUGUAGCUGGUCUGAGAGGACGACCAGCCGCCCUGGGACUGAGACACGGCCCAGGCUCCUACGGGAGGCAGCAGUGGGGAAUUUUGGACAAUGGGGGAGAGCCUGACCCAGCAAGGCCGCGUGUGUGAUGAAGGCCUUCGGGUUGUAAAGCACUUUUGGCGGGAACGAAAAGGACUGUGCCAAUACCACGGUUCGAUGACGGUACCCGCAGAAUAAGCACCGGCUAACUACGUG
This 484-nucleotide ribosomal RNA is filed under the name uncultured bacterium. Its description in RNAcentral is "partial 16S ribosomal RNA". It matches the Rfam family "Bacterial small subunit ribosomal RNA", at positions 28 to 507 of the family's 1533-position model. The record is from RNAcentral.